Molecule: transfer RNA, 85 nt
Filed under: Parcubacteria group bacterium
Lineage: Bacteria
Description: tRNA-Leu
Rfam family: tRNA
About the family: Transfer RNA (tRNA) molecules are approximately 80 nucleotides in length. Their secondary structure includes four short double-helical elements and three loops (D, anti-codon, and T loops).
Source: RNAcentral
GCUCCCGUGGCGGAAUUGGUAUACGCGCAUGGCUUAGAACCAUGUCCCGCAAGGGUUAGAGGUUCGAGUCCUCUCGGGAGCACCA